RNAcentral lists this ribosomal RNA (245 nucleotides) under uncultured bacterium. RNAcentral describes it as "partial small subunit ribosomal RNA". It matches the Rfam family "Bacterial small subunit ribosomal RNA", at positions 26 to 285 of the family's 1533-position model. The record is from RNAcentral.
AGAAUCAACGCUGGCGGCGUGCCUAACACAUGCAAGUCGCACGAGAAAGGGGCUUCGGCCCUGAGUAAAGUGGCGCACGGGUGAGUAACACGUGAAUUAUCUACCUCCGAGUGGGGAAUAACCUAGAGAAAUCUGGGCUAAUACCGCAUAACACUUACGAGUCAAAGCAGCAAUGCGCUUGGAGAGGAGUUCGCGGCAGAUUAGUUAGUUGGCGGGGUAAUGGCCCACCAAGACGAUGAUCUGUA